AGAUUGAACGCUGGCGGCAUGCCUUACACAUGCAAGUCGAACGGCAGCGCGGGGCAACCUGGCGGCGAGUGGCGAACGGGUGAGUAAUAUAUCGGAACGUACCCUGGAGUGGGGGAUAACGUAGCGAAAGUUACGCUAAUACCGCAUACGAUCUAAGGAUGAAAGUGGGGGAUUCGCAAGAACCUCAUGCUCCUGGAGCGGCCGAUAUCUGAUUAGCUAGUUGGUGGGGUAAAGCCUACCAAGGCAUCGAUCAGUAGCUGGUCUGAGAGGACGACCAGCCACACUGGAACUGAGACACGGUCCAGACUCCUACGGGAGGCAGCAGUGGGGAAUUUUGGACAAUGGGACGAAAGCCUAGAUCCAGCAAUGCCGCGUGAGUGAAGAGGCCUUGGUUGUAAGCUCUUUGUCAGGAAGAAGGUGAGGCUAAUAUCCUUGACUAUGACGUACUAGAAGAAUAAGCACGACUAACUACGUG
Molecule: ribosomal RNA, 475 nt
Filed under: uncultured soil bacterium
Lineage: Bacteria
Description: bacterial SSU rRNA
Rfam family: Bacterial small subunit ribosomal RNA
Source: RNAcentral